ACAACUAGUCAGAGCCCGUUAACGGGUGAUGGCGUGCCUUUUGUAGAAUGAACCGGCGAGUUACGGUAUCGUGCAAGGUUAAGCUGAUGAAGCGGAGCCGCAGCGAAAGCGAGUCUGAAUAGGGCGCAUUAGUACGAUGCCGUAGACCCGAAACCGGGUGAUCUACCCAUGUCCAGGGUGAAGGUCGGGUAACACCGACUGGAGGCCCGAACCCACGCAAGUUGAAAAUUGCGGGGAUGAGGUGUGGGUAGGGGU
RNAcentral lists this ribosomal RNA (255 nucleotides) under Shouchella clausii. RNAcentral's name for it is "partial 23S ribosomal RNA". It matches the Rfam family "Bacterial large subunit ribosomal RNA", at positions 566 to 822 of the family's 2925-position model. The record is from RNAcentral. Lineage: Bacteria; Bacillati; Bacillota; Bacilli; Caryophanales; Bacillaceae. RNAcentral also lists the same sequence under 1 other name.